Molecule: ribosomal RNA, 264 nt
Filed under: uncultured bacterium
Lineage: Bacteria
Description: partial 16S ribosomal RNA
Rfam family: Bacterial small subunit ribosomal RNA
Source: RNAcentral
CCGGCGACCGGCGCACGGGUGAGUAACACGUAUGCAACCUGCCCUCUUCAGGGGGACAACCUUCCGAAAGGGAGGCUAAUCCCGCGUAUAUCGGUUUCGGGCAUCCGAGAUCGAGGAAAGAUUCAUCGGAAGAGGAUGGGCAUGCGGCGCAUUAGCUAGACGGCGGGGUAACGCCCACCGUGGCGACGAUGCGUAGGGGUUCUGAGAGGAAGGUCCCCCACACUGGUACUGAGACACGGACCAGACUCCUACGGAAGGCAGCAG